RNAcentral lists this ribosomal RNA (478 nucleotides) under uncultured bacterium. RNAcentral's name for it is "bacterial SSU rRNA". It matches the Rfam family "Bacterial small subunit ribosomal RNA", at positions 335 to 808 of the family's 1533-position model. The record is from RNAcentral.
ACUCCUACGGGAGGCAGCAGUGAGGAAUAUUGGUCAAUGGAGGGAACUCUGAACCAGCCAUCCCGCGUGUAGGAAGACGGCCUUAUGGGUUGUAAACUACUUUUAUACAGGAAGAAACGUACCCUCGUGAGGGUGCCUGACGGUACUGUAGGAAUAAGCACCGGCUAACUCCGUGCCAGCAGCCGCGGUAAUACGGAGGGGUGCGAGCGUUAUCCGGAUUUAUUGGGGUUUAAAGGGUCCGUAGGCGGAUUAAUAAGUCAGUGGUGAAAUCCCAUCGCUUAACGAUGGAACUGCCAUUGAUACUGUUAGUCUUGAAUGAGGGUGCAGUGGUUGGAAUGUGUAGUGUAGCGGUGAAAUGCAUAGAUAUUACACAGAACACCGAUUGCGAAGGCAGAUCACUAACCCUAAAUUGACGCUGAGGGACGAAAGCGUGGGGAGCGAACAGGAUUAGAUACCCUGGUAGCACAGAGAGUCGUCC